This 161-nucleotide small RNA is filed under the name Helianthus annuus (common sunflower). RNAcentral describes it as "sRNA HanXRQr2_Chr09g0402441". The stretch from base 87 to 160 matches the Rfam family "tRNA". Lineage: Eukaryota; Viridiplantae; Streptophyta; Magnoliopsida; Asterales; Asteraceae. The record is from RNAcentral.
CGUAUCGUAUUGUAUCGUAUAGUAUAGUACAGUACAGUACAGUACAGUACAAUACAGUGUAGUAUAGUAUAGCGUAGUAAAGUAUAGUACUUGUAGCUUAGAGGACUAGAGCACGUGGCUACGAACCACAGUGUUGGGGGUUCGAAUCCCUCCUCGCCCAC